This 578-nucleotide ribosomal RNA is filed under the name Escherichia coli. RNAcentral describes it as "bacterial SSU rRNA". It matches the Rfam family "Bacterial small subunit ribosomal RNA", at positions 173 to 746 of the family's 1533-position model. Lineage: Bacteria; Pseudomonadati; Pseudomonadota; Gammaproteobacteria; Enterobacterales; Enterobacteriaceae. The record is from RNAcentral.
AUAACGUCGCAAGACCAAAGAGGGGGACCUUCGGGCCUCUUGCCAUCGGAUGUGCCCAGAUGGGAUUAGCUAGUAGGUGGGGUAACGGCUCACCUAGGCGACGAUCCCUAGCUGGUCUGAGAGGAUGACCAGCCACACUGGAACUGAGACACGGUCCAGACUCCUACGGGAGGCAGCAGUGGGGAAUAUUGCACAAUGGGCGCAAGCCUGAUGCAGCCAUGCCGCGUGUAUGAAGAAGGCCUUCGGGUUGUAAAGUACUUUCAGCGGGGAGGAAGGGAGUAAAGUUAAUACCUUUGCUCAUUGACGUUACCCGCAGAAGAAGCACCGGCUAACUCCGUGCCAGCAGCCGCGGUAAUACGGAGGGUGCAAGCGUUAAUCGGAAUUACUGGGCGUAAAGCGCACGCAGGCGGUUUGUUAAGUCAGAUGUGAAAUCCCCGGGCUCAACCUGGGAACUGCAUCUGAUACUGGCAAGCUUGAGUCUCGUAGAGGGGGGUAGAAUUCCAGGUGUAGCGGUGAAAUGCGUAGAGAUCUGGAGGAAUACCGGUGGCGAAGGCGGCCCCCUGGACGAAGACUGACGC